AUCACUGUCGGUAGCAGCAACAUAAGCUUCAUUACUCAGUGACCUGGGCAUAGGGCUGGUUCUCUCUGGUUUCAAGGCGGGAAGACUGCCAGGACCACAAGCACUCCCAAGUGAAAGGCCGUGCUUGACGCACUUACCAUAGGAGUUGGAUGAUGUUUCAGAGCACAGAUGCCAGGAGUUUUCUUUUGUUUUCCUUUUAAUUUCAUCAUGCUUUUAAAACCAUUUUUCUUUCCACAGGCCCCUGUAAUGCGUUUGAAAAGAUCCAUUCUCCUGAGUCAUCCAAGAGGACGGAGAACACGGUGAGCUUUCAGCUGAACGGGAGACUGUCCCUCCUCUGCCUGCUCCUCUACAGUGUCCUCUACUGAGAUCACACCCGGAAUAAACCACUUGCGGUUGAAUGUGUGUCCAUGGGUUGGCUUCUAAGACACAGUUUCUGGAUGUGGACUCUAAAAGAAGAAGAUGAGCUGCUUUGUUAGGGCAUCAGGAAAGAUGGCUGAAAGUGUUCUCCAUUCCCCAGCAAGAGGGAAUCCUGAUGGCCAGAAGGAACACUGGAACUGCAGCACAUGGCACAGAACAGCAGAGGGAAAGCCCGUGACGGCCAGAAGAGAACCGUACCGCGCGUGCUCAGGCUCGUGUCCAGCCGGCUUCUCCUGGAGGACCAGGGCGGUAACACGAGACUCACUUCGCCAGCCUCAGGAAGAGUUUGUUCUUUAGACACCCGUUGCUUUAAGCAGCCUGUCAAAUUGAUUCAGACAUUCAAGAUAUUCUGCUGCUUACUGAAGAAUGCAUUACCAGUGAUGAAGGACUCUUAUUUUACUCUUCCUUGCAUGAUACACUGGGGAGAUUAUUUCUGAGUGAGUGAAAGAGCUGCCAGACACCAUCUCCUGGAAAUGCCUGGUAAGAGAAAAGCAGCAAACUUUGAAAAAGAGAUCUGCCAUCCUGCAUCAAAUCAGCCACCCCCAACCUGGGCUCCUCAUACUGACUCGUUUAAAGAAGUUCAUUUCCUAUAAUAAAGCUGGUCUACGAGUGCUACAUUUCUUCAGCUUUGUUUGUCUGGAAACCUCUUUAUCUUUCAAUUCUGAGGGACAACUUUGCUGGAUAGAGUAUUUUGGUUGGUAAUUUUUUUUUUUCUGUUCCUACUUUGUAGGUUUGUAGGCCAGAAGGGAGUUUUGUGAUAGCUUCAAAGUUUCUGGUAAAAAAAA
Molecule: non-coding RNA, 1202 nt
Organism: Vicugna pacos (alpaca)
Lineage: Eukaryota; Metazoa; Chordata; Mammalia; Artiodactyla; Camelidae
Source: RefSeq, a predicted model, not a curated record